Long non-coding RNA from Etheostoma cragini (Arkansas darter), 1372 nucleotides. RefSeq lists it as uncharacterized. The transcript is spliced from 4 exons. NCBI's taxonomy places the organism in Eukaryota, Metazoa, Chordata, Actinopteri, Perciformes, Percidae. The record is from RefSeq and is a predicted model, not a curated record.
CCUGCUGCCUGUCGGCCGUCCUGCGGCCUCGGCUGCUGCUGCUGCUGCUGCUGCUGUUGCUCUGGUUUGAUUCUGCUCCUUCAGGCUGAUCCGCUGGGUUGCCACUAGAAGAGCCCCUUCCACCAGACAUCCCAGAACUGGACUGAGAGCCCAUAGACUGAAGAGGGCCUGGCACGGAAAAUCAUUUGGAAAUUCAAUAACAGUUUAGGUGUACCUGGGGGAAACCAGGUCCAUGGUUUUUGCCAAAAAGUUGGUUCUGAAGGCUGACGCAGUGCCCUCCAUUCGUCCUGGGAGCCCAACAGGUCUUAAGCAUGUGGCAGCUGCAUUUGGUUUAAAAAGAGCAGAUGUGGCCUGUCAGUGUACCUCAGUGGUCGUGCAUGAAGUUGGCCUCCGGUGUAGUCUUCCUGCGAACAGGACGAGGACUUUGGGGACCCAACUGUCACAGCGCACAUUGACAUACAGGAGAAGCCCGGCUGUCCAGACAAAGCUGUCCACAACAGGUGCUGCUGUUGGUACAGUAGAGAUAAAACCGGCAGAGCAAUCCCUCGGAGGGCUAAUUUCAAGCUCUCAGAACCCCCCUCAAUCACCCCCGACUGAUUGGUCACAGCCUGAAAUUGAAGAUGAUGAUCAAUGUGUGACAGUGGCAACUCAUCUUUUGUUACAAGUCUCUCUCUUGUGGAGGAAUCAAGUCAUGUUGUGGUCACAGCACUGCAGAAAUGGAUGAGCAAGAGGAUCUUUUUUUAAUAGAUGUAAACCCAGCUGUAGACAAAAUCCUGCAGUGUCUGCAUACUUUAUUCUAUCUCGCUUAACAAGAGCAUGCUGCAAAAAUGAAAGCUGUGAGUAAUUUCUUCAGCAUAACAGUGGCAUCCCGGCUUUGAACUUAUCUCAUUAUAAUAAGAAAGCAUCUGUUGCUAUUGUAAAAAACAGAAAAUGUUUUUAAAUAGAUUAUUCUCUCAUUUUAACUAGAUGGUUUGUCGUGAUUGCCUUGUUGUGCAAACAACUAGGAUAGGUAUAAGACAUGACACUUGAACCUGGACACCUGGAAAUCUAGACCCAAAUCUGAAAGAUUAAGGGUCUGGCACUGAGUAAUGAAAGUCAGCCAUCUCGAGGGGCGGCACAAAGCCUGUAUUUCAAAAUCUCAAUGCAUGCAAUUGGAUAACACUACGACCAAUCACCACAACACACAGGGUGACGUUUCCAGAGCCCCAUACGCUUAGCCACCAGCGGUUGUCAUCUGUUUAGUUCGCCUCUGGCCCGCCUACAUCAGAUACACCGAUGUGAUUGGUGCAGCUCGGCUACAAGAGCAUAGUUAAUGAGCAGCGUUACGCAAUGCCAGAGUAACUUGCUGAGCAAAUUCAAAUUGUGCUCUCGC